This 701-nucleotide long non-coding RNA is filed under the name Nicotiana tabacum (common tobacco). Its description in RNAcentral is "long non-coding RNA (NTAB_LNC015151)". The record is from RNAcentral. Lineage: Eukaryota; Viridiplantae; Streptophyta; Magnoliopsida; Solanales; Solanaceae.
AUUAGGUGAUACAGGUCAGAACCAUCCAGCUGGGGUAUGGCAAAAUGAUAGAUCUAUCAUUGAGGUACAUUUCUGUUGGAAUAAUCCAGAUUAAAAGUGGUCGUGCUGAACAAAAGAUGGUGUGUGUUUUAAAUGUCUAUGCCUCCAUUUGCUAUAUUGAGUGUGAAUAAGACUGUAACCAAUCAGACCACAAUAGGUUCAGGAUCAAUGAGCAAUUGAUGGUUAUUGUCGUAGCAAAUUGUCUCAUGGGACCCAUCAUGAUGUGCAUUAACUUACUAUUUGCAAUCUUUAGGUUUCCCUUUAUCUGAGGGAAUUUCCUUUUUCUUUUAUAGCCACUCAGGCAGCUUGGACACAUGAAUGUUUUGAGGCCAUUGAUGCUGACCUUCACGUGAAGUAAAAGGUGCUUCAGUGCCAUGCGUAAAGAGAUGUUGCAUUCAGCAUCAUUGUUUUUUGGCUGGUAAACUGCAAUGCAUCUAUAGUGUCACUUUCCUAUUAAGUUCGAACCAUUCUGCAUAUCAUUUUACCAAAUGGAGCACAUAGAGAGUUUAGGAUAUUUUAAUCUAGUUAUAUUACCUAUUGAAACAGAAGUGGAGAUGAUAUUACAUCUUUUGGGUAAAGCUCUCUCCUCCUGCUGCCUCUUAUUACAAUCAAUAAUUACAGAGUAUAAUUUUGCCUAAAUGAAUAGUGAGAUAGGCCCCAGG